RNA transcript from Panicum virgatum (switchgrass), 3053 nucleotides. RefSeq lists it as uncharacterized. The transcript has 16 exons. NCBI's taxonomy places the organism in Eukaryota, Viridiplantae, Streptophyta, Magnoliopsida, Poales, Poaceae. The record is from RefSeq and is a predicted model, not a curated record.
GCUCCCGGAUGCGGAGGCGGCGAGGUGGGACGAGGAGGAGGUGACACCGGCGGAGGCGCGGCGGCUGAUGCGGCUAGCCAACAUCGACGCGCUCAAGCGGCAGCUCGGGGACGGGGAGUGAUCCCGUACGCGGACCUGCUGCGCGUGUGCCAGGAGACCGACGCGGCCAGGACGCGCGCCGAGGCCGCCGCGCUCGCGGGCGCACUCGAUGAGGCCGGUGUCGUGCUGCUCUUCUGCGACAGGGUCUACCUCCAGCCCGAUAAGGUCAGCUCGCAUCGCAUUGCCGCCCUAUCCUACCCCUCCCCUCCCUCCUCGCCGCCUCGGUUCGCUGGAUCCCCUCCUUCGCGGCUCAGCUUACCUGUGCUCCUCGCCGCCGGUUAUCCUUGUUUGUUUGUUUGCUGUUUGAAUAGUCGUAUGACCCACCAGCCAAUCCCAUGUGGCGGCGGCCUCCCAGUCAGGUCGGGGGAGUCGACGGGCCGAGACGUUGCGGGUCUUCGCUCACGAAUCUCCGAGCUCUCUCUGCCCCCGCUGGCCACUCGCGGAACCGUCGCCCUCCAAUCACGCAGAGCCGACGGCGGCAGGAAAAAACUGCACCAUGCCCGGGAAGGAUCGUGAUUUACCCAAGAUAUUUUGGAGGGCAAUUACUGUGUCCUGGGUAGCAACCAUUUUGUUUAAACAUUGGUCUGGGUUCAAUGCUAAAAGGUAAUCGUGCUACGGAGCUAUUCAGUUCAAAUUGAAGGGACCAUGCAGACUGCAGUGGGUGUUUUUGGUGGUAAAAAUUAUACUAAUGGAACAUUUCAUUACGUGCACCUUCACUAACUAUGGGCUCAGGGUGUACAAUCUGAACCAUCAAUUUGCUAUUUUUCCUCCAGAAACUGAAUUUCAAAAUAUUUUAUUAUGGAUAUAUUUAAUUGGGAUAAUACAAGCAUGUCUGAAAUCUGAGCAACUGAAUCUCUAGCUCUUCUGAAAAGCUGCUGCUAUUCAUGUAUGGCAUUUGCAGCUCUUUGGGAUGGUUUGACAAGGCACAUCACAAGCAAAUAUUGGAGGAGCUACUACUAAAAUUUUGAAGUCAGAUUCGUAGUGCAGAAUUUUGGAAAUCAGAACAACUAAACUACCUAAGGGUAAGGAUGUUUGGCUCAUGCGUUGGAGAUCGGGUCCAGAUGGAAGUAGGCAGGGAGCGCUGCCCGUGGGGGUAGGGAAAGGCAUGGCUCAUGCGUGGAUGGAAGGAGGCAGGGAGCGCCCGGCCACCAUUGCCGGUGAGCCAUCGUAUGGCUACUUUCGCGCCGUGCCGACCCCUUCGAGAAGAUCGACAAGGAUGUUGCCAACUGCAUCCGCCCUCUCCGGUUCCACCACAAGUGUGUAUCUAUAGCAACAUGCUGUUCUAUUUAAUUCUUUGGCACUGAUCAUCUUGGUGUUAAACUGGUAAUUCAGGAUCUCUACCUGAAUUCUGGGGCAUGAGAUGCGGAACACAGGCAGAUCGAGGAAGCUUUUGAAUUGCAUGCUCCUGAAUAGGCCAAUAAUUAUUUGGCUUUGUUGUAGGACAAGUGCAUGAUUGUCCUGCUGUACAGGCAUACAGCUUGAUGAGAAUGCUGGAGAUAGGCAAAGCUCUGCAAUCUUAUCCCUAUUACUUUGGGUUUCAGAUCAGAAAUGAGGGAUGCAUGUUUCUCUACACAACUCAUUGACGGUGAUGGGGUUUUCAAUGUCUCCGAAUUGGAGAACUUCAUGAAGGAAGCUAGAUUGGGUGAAUGCAGGCUCUCGUAUGCUGUUGUAUCAAUAAUGGGCCCGCAAAGGAAAAGUACACUUCUGAAUCAUCUUUUUGGCACCAAUUUUAGAAAGACGGAUGCUUUCAAAGGAAGGUGUGCUACUAUUUCUUUAUAUUUGUCACUAAACUUAUGCGGGGCCCGAUAUGGGGGCCGAUGGCCGGCCUCGCCACCGUCGACGCGCGGCCCCACGGAGGCUCCCCUCACACUCCUUACGCAGUCAUGGGAAUUGCCAUUGGAGUCUUGCCUCUGGGAGUGGGGCUCCUGUUCUAGGUGCACAGCAGGUGUAUGAGUAAGCCUCGAGGAUUCAGGAGACACGGUUAUCACUUUAAUAGAACCUGAAAAAGAGUUCAGGGAAGGAUGGAGGUGUGACAGUUCCAGAGAGAGAGUCUACUUUGGAGGAGGCUGGUGUAAUGGAUGCGGUCUUGGUGAAUACACACCAGUUCUACAGGUGGUUUGCAAAACUGGAGUCAGCUGUGAAAUCUGAGUUUUGUUUAAUGUCACUAUUUCUCUUGGCGACAGAAAGAUUAUGAUAACAUUGUUUGCUCACUCUGGAGACAUUGUUUAUUGACAGACAGAGGAGAAGUAUCGCCUCUAUGAGAAUACAUUAAAGGAGCGUGUCAACACAUGUGACAGCAUCCUGAAGCAAUUAAGGCUGCAAUUUUUUUUUGUUUCUUUAUGUUGAAAAAAAUCUGUACAGACGUAUACACCUUUGCCCUUUCAGUUUUAACCUUUUAAAGUGCAUCUCUACAGGUUGAUGAUACAUUGAACUUGUUUGAAGAACUACAGACCUUGCACUCGAGUGUUGCCACGAAGAUUAAAACAUUGCAUGAUGCUUGCGGCCAACUGGGAGCAUGUUUAUGUAGCCAUUCUGAUCAUUUCAUUAUGUUUGUGGAGAAAUAAGGGGGCUACUUUUGUGCAAAGCUGAGCAAAUUCGUAGGAGAAUCUGAUGGAGCUGAUGAUCUUGGUCCCGCUGCAAAUAUUAUGGGAUCCUCAAUGAAGCGAACUAAUAUCAAAAUUUAAUUUGGAGGCAUUUAUGGAAUCAGAGUUUUAGUUUGGUAUUAUCUGAUUUAAUCUCGGUGCAUUCGAUGAUGCUACCAAUAUUGUUUGCAAAUCACUAUGACAGUAUCGGGUUUGCACCAUAUCCUGAUUUGGCAUCAUAAGGAUGCUGUUAGAAGUGAGGUAUAUGUUAAUAUUUUCUGGAUGUGCCACAUUAUUAGCAAUGGUCUGCAAGUUAAUCAUGUGUGAGUUUAAACAUCCGCUCUGAAGGAAUCUUUUUUUUUCUUCGAAAAA